UACGGGGGGGGCGAGCGUUGUCCGAAGUUACUGGGCGUAAAGCGCGUGUAGGCGGGUUGUUAAGUCCGCUGUGAAAGCCCGGUGCUCAACGCCGGAGGGUCGGUGGAUACUGGCAGUCUUGAAGUGGCUAGGGGGAAAUGGAAUUACCGGUGUAGCGGUGAAAUGCGUAGAUAUCGGUAGGAACACCAGUGGCGAAGGCGGUUUCCUGGAGCCCACUUGACGCUGAGACGGCGAAAGCUGGGGGAGCAAACGGG
RNAcentral lists this ribosomal RNA (254 nucleotides) under uncultured bacterium. Its description in RNAcentral is "partial 16S ribosomal RNA". It matches the Rfam family "Bacterial small subunit ribosomal RNA", at positions 524 to 776 of the family's 1533-position model. The record is from RNAcentral.